This 446-nucleotide ribosomal RNA is filed under the name uncultured bacterium. RNAcentral describes it as "partial 16S ribosomal RNA". It matches the Rfam family "Bacterial small subunit ribosomal RNA", at positions 29 to 523 of the family's 1533-position model. The record is from RNAcentral.
AGCGAACGCUGGCGGCAGGCCUAACACAUGCAAGUCGAACGGUCCUUCGGGAUAGUGGCGGACGGGUGAGUAACACGUGGGAACGUGCCUUUUGGUUCGGAACAACUUGGGGAAACUUAAGCUAAUACCGGAUGUGCCCUUAGGGGAAAGAUUUAUCGCCAUUAGAGCGGCCCGCGUCUGAUUAGCUAGUUGGUGGGGUAAAGGCCUACCAAGGCGACGAUCAGUAGCUGGUCUGAGAGGAUGAUCAGCCACAUUGGGACUGAGACACGGCCCAAACUCCAACGGGAGGCAGCAGUGGGGGAUCUUGCGCAAUGGGCGAAAGCCUGACGCAGCCAUGCCGCGUGAAUGAUGAAGGUCUUAGGAUUGUAAAAUUCUUUCACCGGGGACGAUAAUGACAGUACCCGGAGAAGAAGCCCCGGCUAACUUCGUGCCAGCCGCCGCCGUAA